GCGGCCUAUCAGGUAGUAGGUGGUGUAACGGACCACCUAGCCUAAGACGGGUACGGGCCUUGAGAGAGGGAGCCCGGAGAUGGGUUCUGAGACACGAACCCAGGCCCUACGGGGCGCAGCAGGCGCGAAACCUUCGCACUGCGCGAAAGCGCGACGAGGGGAGCCCGAGUGCCUCUCCAUUUCGGGGAGGCUUUUCACAAGCCUAAAAAGCUUGUGGAAUAAGGGCUGGGCAAGACGGGUGCCAGCCGCCGCGGUAAUACCCGCAGCUCAAGUGGUGGUCGCUUUUAUUGAGCCUAAAACGUUCGUAGUCGGCCUUGUAAAUCCCUGGGUAAAUCGGGGCGCUUAACGUUUCGAAUUCCGGGGAGACUGCAAGGCUAGGGACCGGGCGAGGUCAGAGGUACUUUCGGGGUAGGAGUGAAAUCCUGUAAUCCCGAAGGGACCACCUGUGGCGAAAGCGUCUGACUUGAACGGCUCCGACGAUGAGGAACGAAGGCUAGGGGAGCAAACCGGAUUAGAUACCCGGGUAGUCCUAGCUGUAAACUCUGCCCGCUUGGUGUGGCUUGUACUUCGGGUGCAGGCUGUGCCGGAGCGAAGGUGUUAAGCGGGCUGCUUGGGGAGUACGGCCGCAAGGUUGAAACUUAAAGGAAUUGGCGGGGGAGCACCGCAACGGGAGGAUGCGUGCGGUUUAA
This 689-nucleotide ribosomal RNA is filed under the name uncultured Thermoplasmatales archaeon. Its description in RNAcentral is "bacterial SSU rRNA". It matches the Rfam family "Archaeal small subunit ribosomal RNA", at positions 217 to 905 of the family's 1478-position model. Lineage: Archaea; Methanobacteriati; Thermoplasmatota; Thermoplasmata; Thermoplasmatales. The record is from RNAcentral.